CCUACGGGUGGCAGCAGUGGGGAAUAUUGGGCAAUGGGCGCAAGCCUGACCCAGCAAUGCCGCGUGAAGGAAGAAGGCUUUCGGGUUGUAAACUUCUUUGACAGGGGAAGAGCAGAAGACGGUACCCUGAAAACAAGCCACGGCUAACUACGUGCCAGCAGCCGCGGUAAUACGUAGGUGGCAAGUGUUGUCCGGAUUUACUGGGUGUAAAGGGCGUGUAGCCGGGAAGGCAAGUCAGAGGUGAAAUCUGGAGGCUCAACCCCUUCCCGCCAUUGAAACUGGCGCUCUGGAGUGGAAGAGAAGUAUGCGGAAUGCGUGGUGUAGCGGUGAAAUGCAUAGAUAUCACGCAGAACCCCGAUUGCGAAGGCAGCAUGCCGGCUUCCGACUGACGCUGAAGCACGAAAGCGUGGGGAUCGAACAGGAUUAGAUACCCCUGUAGUC
RNAcentral lists this ribosomal RNA (441 nucleotides) under uncultured bacterium. RNAcentral's name for it is "partial 16S ribosomal RNA". It matches the Rfam family "Bacterial small subunit ribosomal RNA", at positions 338 to 795 of the family's 1533-position model. The record is from RNAcentral.